UUGAGAGGUUAAGUGUGGAUGGAGAAGAAGGAGCUUAGGAGGAAUGGAUAGGUUUGGGUAAGGUGUCCGUACAAGGCAAGGCCGUACAAGGCCGUACCACUUGGCCGUACACACUUACCUCAGCUGCGGUUAAGUCAAGAGUUACUUGGGUGACUUACCAUGAUAAGAAGAAGCACUGAUCACUCACCUGAAGGAUCAGACCGUUACCAAAGGAAGAAGGAGCGUGUGACAGCCUGUCUUGAGCUGGAAAGAAGAAGGCAUAAAGCAAAGAUGCCUCACACACGCGGCCACUCUCAUUGGAUAGUUCAAAUGCAUUCUUAUCUUAUCCAUUGACUCCACAUGCUUUCUCUCUUGUGUAUUCGAAACCCUAGAACCUCUCUCUCACUAUAUAAUGUAUCCUUAUCUCAUUAAUGAAAGUUAGACAGUUCUAAACAAUCUCUCUCUAUACUCAUUUCAUUA
Molecule: long non-coding RNA, 459 nt
Filed under: Brassica napus (rape)
Lineage: Eukaryota; Viridiplantae; Streptophyta; Magnoliopsida; Brassicales; Brassicaceae
Description: long non-coding RNA (BNAP_LNC016011)
Source: RNAcentral